RNAcentral lists this non-coding RNA (190 nucleotides) under Vagococcus elongatus. Its description in RNAcentral is "6S / SsrS RNA". It matches the Rfam family "6S / SsrS RNA". Rfam says of the family: E. coli 6S RNA was the first non coding RNA to be sequenced, but its function was unknown until recently. It consists of 184 nucleotides that fold into an extended hairpin structure with a large single-stranded internal bulge. The record is from Rfam by way of RNAcentral. Lineage: Bacteria; Bacillati; Bacillota; Bacilli; Lactobacillales; Enterococcaceae.
GGUAGUCUGUGAUGUUCGCGUCAUUCCAUUUCAGUGUUGACCGAACAUAUUAGUAUUAUUUAGGGAUUCAAAAUGUUCAAAUGGAAAACAAGCCUUUUCACUUGGUAGUUUGAGAGUUGAACUAUGAAACCCACCUGCUUACUAGCGGGUUCAAUACUACGGAGUGACUAACGGCAUCAACGGAUUUCCU